This 877-nucleotide ribosomal RNA is filed under the name Tubakia japonica. Its description in RNAcentral is "eukaryotic LSU rRNA". It matches the Rfam family "Eukaryotic large subunit ribosomal RNA", at positions 43 to 949 of the family's 3401-position model. The record is from RNAcentral. Lineage: Eukaryota; Fungi; Ascomycota; Sordariomycetes; Diaporthales; Tubakiaceae.
UCAAUAAGCGGAGGAAAAGAAACCAACAGGGAUUGCCCUAGUAACGGCGAGUGAAGCGGCAACAGCUCAAAUUUGAAAUCUGGCCUCGGCCCGAGUUGUAAUUUGCAGAGGAUGCUUUUGGUGCGGUGCCUUCCGAGUUCCCUGGAACGGGACGCCACAGAGGGUGAGAGCCCCGUAUGGUCGGACACCAAUCCUGUGUAAAGCUCCUUCGACGAGUCGAGUAGUUUGGGAAUGCUGCUCUAAAUGGGAGGUAAAUCUCUUCUAAAGCUAAAUACCGGCCAGAGACCGAUAGCGCACAAGUAGAGUGAUCGAAAGAUGAAAAGCACCUUGAAAAGGGGGUUAAACAGUACGUGAAAUUGUUGAAAGGGAAGCACUUGUGACCAGACUUGGGCCGGGCGGCUCAUCAGGGGUUCUCCCCUGUGCAUUCCGCCCGGUACAGGCCAGCAUCGGUUCUUACCGGGGGAUAAGAACGGCAGGAACGUGGCUCCCUCUCGGGGGAGUGUUAUAGCCUGCCGUACGAUACCCUGGCGGGGACCGAGGUUCGCGCUUCCGCAAGGAUGCUGGCGUAAUGGUUACUAGUGACCCGUCUUGAAACACGGACCAAGGAGUCGUCCAUUAGAGCGAGCGUUUGGGUGUAAAACCCGCACGCGUAAUGAAAGUGAAAUUAGGUGAGAGCUUCGGCGCAUCAUCGACCGAUCCUGAUGUUCUCGGAUGGAUUUGAGUAAGAGUUUUAACGGACGGACCCGAAAGACAGUGAACUAUGCUUGUAUAGGGUGAAGCCAGAGGAAACUCUGGUGGAGGCUCGCAGCGGUUCUGACGUGCAAAUCGAUCGUCAAAUAUGAGCAUGGGGGCGAAAGACUAAUCGAACUGUCUAGUA